AUAAGUUGAAUUAAAAGUCGUCUAAGCUAUUUGAUCCAGCUAGACAUAAAUUUAAAGUUGUUGUUGAACAAGAUAAAACUUAUCCAACCGAAUUGUUUUGGUUUGGAUUCAAGACUGUUAUGAACAUCCUAAUUAUGGGAAAUUUUUAUGCGCUAAGGCGGACAAAGGAUGAACGAUAAUAUCGUUCUAGCAAUGUAGUAUUGAUCAAUACAAUGCAUAACGGGCUGAUCACCCCCGUGCCCGUAAGUUAUGACGGUUUACAGAUGAAGUUCUGUUUAACCUUUUCAAAAAUAGAAAAUAAUGUUCAUAGUCUG
RNAcentral lists this long non-coding RNA (314 nucleotides) under Panax ginseng (ginseng). RNAcentral describes it as "long non-coding RNA (PGIN_LNC006805)". Lineage: Eukaryota; Viridiplantae; Streptophyta; Magnoliopsida; Apiales; Araliaceae. The record is from RNAcentral.